AGUGAACGCUGGCGGUAGGCCUAACACAUGCAAGUCGAACGGCAGCACAGUAAGAGCUUGCUCUUACGGGUGGCGAGUGGCGGACGGGUGAGGAAUACAUCGGAAUCUACUUUUUCGUGGGGGAUAGCGUAGGGAAACUUACGCUAAUACCGCAUACGACCUACGGGUGAAAGCAGGGGAUCUUCGGACCUUGCGCGAUUGAAUGAGCCGAUGUCGGAUUAGCUAGUUGGCGGGGUAAAGGCCACCAAGGCGACGAUCCGUAGCUGGUCUGAGAGGAUGAUCAGCCACACUGGAACUGGGACACGGUCCAGACUCCUACGGGAGGCAGCAGUGGGGAAUAUUAGACAAUGGGCGCAAGCCUGAUCCAGCCAUACCGCGUGGGUGAAGAAGGCCUUCGGGUUGUAAAGCCCUUUUGUUGGGAAAGAAAAGCAGCAGGUUAAUACCCCGCUGUUCUGACGGUACCCGAAGAAUAAGCACCGGCUAACUUCGUG
This 491-nucleotide ribosomal RNA is filed under the name uncultured bacterium. RNAcentral describes it as "partial 16S ribosomal RNA". It matches the Rfam family "Bacterial small subunit ribosomal RNA", at positions 29 to 507 of the family's 1533-position model. The record is from RNAcentral.